This 402-nucleotide ribosomal RNA is filed under the name bacterium Ellin5202. Its description in RNAcentral is "bacterial SSU rRNA". It matches the Rfam family "Bacterial small subunit ribosomal RNA", at positions 29 to 478 of the family's 1533-position model. The record is from RNAcentral. Lineage: Bacteria; Pseudomonadati; Pseudomonadota; Alphaproteobacteria; Hyphomicrobiales; Beijerinckiaceae.
AACGAACGCUGGCGGCAGGCUUAACACAUGCAAGUCGAGCGCCCCGCAAGGGGAGCGGCAGACGGGUGAGUAACGCGUGGGAACAUACCCUCCGGUUCGGAAUAACUCAGGGAAACUUGAGCUAAUACCGGAUACGGCUUAGCGGCGAAAGAUUUAUCGCCGGAGGAUUGGCCCGCGUCCGAUUAGCUAGUUGGUGUGGUAAUGGCGCACCAAGGCGACGAUCGGUAGCUGGUCUGAGAGGAUGAUCAGCCACAUUGGGACUGAGACACGGCCCAAACUCCUACGGGAGGCAGCAGUGGGGAAUAUUGGACAAUGGGCGAAAGCCUGAUCCAGCCAUGCCGCGUGAGUGAUGAAGGCCUUAGGGUUGUAAAGCUCUUUCACCCACGACGAUAAUGACGGUAG